RNAcentral lists this long non-coding RNA (3259 nucleotides) under Ananas comosus (pineapple). RNAcentral describes it as "long non-coding RNA (ACOM_LNC023056)". The record is from RNAcentral. Lineage: Eukaryota; Viridiplantae; Streptophyta; Magnoliopsida; Poales; Bromeliaceae.
UUUAUCUGAAGAGAUCAGGUUGCAGGCGAGUACCGAAGAAAGCAGUGCAGGUUUGGUCGUAAAUGAUACAAGUGGAGGAAGGGGACGAUCAAGCGAACGUGAUGCAGGUAAAGGAAGAUCCCGUUCCAAGUCAAAAUCGAAAAAGGUGAAGUGUUACUUCUGUAGAAAAAAGGGCCACAUGAAAAAGAACUGCGAAAAGAGGAAGGCUUGGCUGCGAAAUCAGAAUUCCUCUGCAGAUACGGCGAGCGUAGCGAGUGAUUCCGGUCAGGACGUCUUGACGGUUACAACAGAUUUUGACUCUCACGGUGACUGGAUAUUAGAUUCUGGUUGUUCUUAUCACAUGUCUCCAAACAGGUCUUUAUUUGAUACUUAUAAGUCUUGUGAAGGCAGUAGUGUUAUGAUGGGUAAUCGCACUAAUUGCAAGAUGGUCGAUAUCGGAACAGUAAAAAUAAAGAUGUUUGAUGGUGUGGUGAGGACGUUAACGGAUGUGAGACACAUUCCGGAUCUCAGGUUAAAUCUUAUAUCACUUGGUACUCUUGACUCUACUGGCUGUUCUAUUAGCAUUUCAGGUGGAGUUGUCAAGGUUAAAAAGGGUACCAUGGUCGUCAUGAAGGGAGAGAAGAAAGGGAAUCUGUAUAGGCUGAUCGGCGAGUCGGUGAUUGGAGGUGUUGCGGUAACAUCCCCAGAAGAUCAUGAUGCUGAUGAUACGGAGCUCUGGCACAUGAGAUUAGCCCACAUGAGUGAAAAAGGGAUGUUGGAACUGCAUAAAAGGGGAGUACUUAAAGGUAUUAAAUCCUGUAAACUUAAUUUCUGCAAAUAUUGUUUAUUUGGAAAACAGAAAAGGUUGAGUUUCAGGACAUCCAGUCAUAAAAGCAAAAGUAUACUUGAGUACAUCCAUGCGGACGUGUGGGGACCGGCUCCGGUGACUUCGAAAGGUGGUGCACGAUAUUUUAUUACAUUUAUCGAUGAUUUCUCUCGUAAGGUUUGGGUAUUCUUCAUGAAGGAAAAGUCUGAGGCAUUUAUAAAGUUCAGACAUUGGAAGAGUGAGGUGGAGAAACAAACUGGGAAGCAGGUCAAGGUUCUUCGAACGGACAAUGGUGAAGAGUUCACUUCUCGGGAGUUUAAGAAAUUCUGCAAGGAUGAAGGUAUUGUACGUCAUUACACGGUUCCAGGUACUGCACAGCAGAAUGGGGUAGCAGAAAGGAUGAACCGGACAUUGCUAGAACGUGCCAGAUCCAUAAGGUUAUGUGCAGAUUUGCCAAAUUUAUCCCUCUGAUUUAUUACCAUUAUAGUACUAUUUAUUUUCUAACAGAAAAUAAAUAAAAUUAUAUUUCUAUUAUUACAAAUAUGUCUCUCCAAAAGCCCAAUUAUUAAAAUUAUGAAGAAAUGUCCUCCAAAAAAUUUCCAAAGAUUUUCUUCUUCCUUUCUACCAUUACAAAUAAUAUAAAAGUGAUAAAAAGAUCAAUUUAGCUCAUUUACUAAUCAUGGGUAAGUAUUUUACGUUCCAAUCGUUAACUGUUUUUUUCUAACGGAUCUUAAUAAUGUUAAGAAUAUGCCUUCUUUUGAACUUGGGUUGAAUCAAAUUAGUUAACCCAUUAAGUUGGUUUAUAAAAGAUGGUAUAGGCUAGGACCAUGGAUUACAUCAAAUUGAUUUUCAGUUUAUUGGUGUAAGAUUUGUGUUUAUCUACACAUGUCCUCUCCUAGUCUAAUUAGGAUUGUUGACUUGUUGACCGCACCUAUAUAUAUACAUGCAUGGCUAUGCAACCGGGGAAGAGGCGUCAUGUGUGAGAAAAUUAAUUAGCAUCGGGCUAAUUAAUUCACAAGCUUCCGAGGCGUACGGCAGCAAGGAACCUAAUUAAUUAAGGUGGCUCCGUCCGUAUGGUUAGAGAAGAAGCACCGCGUCUUUGCAUGCGACGUCGGAUUGGAGUCGGCAGCAGGAGCGGCGGUUCUUAACCAAUUGCCUGAGCAGUUCGGAUUCUUCGAAGCAACGGCAUAAAGGAAUUUGGUUAGAGUUUCUAUACUUCUCUAAUUUGGUUCUCAGUUUUACGAAAAGCUUUUUCAGUAUUUUCUUGGAGUUUUCGUUGGAACAAGAAAGGUGGGAUUCACCAUAAGGUUCUUGGUUUUUUUUAUCCGGAGAAGACAUAAGGUGUAAGCUUAUACUUCUAUUUCUUCAUAUAGUGGAAUACAUCUCUCUCGCUCUCCCCGUGGACGUAAGUAAUUGCCGAAACACGUAAAUCUUAGUUUCUUCUUUCUGCAUUUAUUUCUUUUACCGUUCGGUCGAUUUUCUCUAUUUUUCGUGCAUCCUUGUUGGUAGCACAUGACGGACGAUCCAUCCGGUUCCCAACAAGUGGUAUCAGAGCGUAAGGUUCGUGCUACAUCAGAGAUGUCGAAAGUCUCGUCUUCUAAGUUUGAGGUGGAGAAAUUUGACGGUAAAGAAAACUUCGAUCUCUGGCAGAGAAGAGUGAAAGCCCUUCUGGUUCAACAGGGCCUUCAUAAGGCAUUGCUCGGAAAAUCGAAAAAGCCGACAUCGAUGAGCGACGAAGAUUGGGAGGAUAUUAAUCUGCAAGCGGUGAAUACAAUUAUAUUGUGUCUAGCAGAUGAAGUGAUGUAUAACGUAAUGGAUGAAGAAACUACAGUCGGCAUGUGGGACAAGCUAGAGAAGCUGUACAUGACCAAAAGCCUCUCGAACGUGCUGUACCUAAAGCAAAAAUUAUAUGGACUACGCAUGAAGGAAGGUACGGCAAUAACGGAACACUUGAACACCUUUAAUAAAUUAUUGCGGAUUUGCUAAGCAUUAAUGUCAAGGUUGACGAGGACGAUAAGGCGUUGAUUUUUCUUACAUCACUUCCGUCGUCCUACAAUCACUUGGUGAUCACCAUACUGUACGGGAAGCAAACUCUAAAGAUGGAAGAUGUUACAUCGACACUUUUAUCUGAAGAGAUCAGGUUGCAGGCGAGUACCGAAGAAAGCAGUGCAGGUUUGGUCGUAAAUGAUACAAGUGGAGGAAGGGGACGAUCAAGCGAACGUGAUGCAGGUAAAGGAAGAUCCCGUUCCAAGUCAAAAUCGAAAAAGGUGAAGUGUUACUUCUGUAGAAAAAAGGGCCACAUGAAAAAGAACUGCGAAAAGAGGAAGGCUUGGCUGCGAAAUCAGAAUUCCUCUGCAGAUACGGCGAGCGUAGCGAGUGAUUCCGGUCAGGACGUCUUGACGGUUACAACAGAUUUUGACUCUCACGGUGACUGGAUAUUAGAUUCUGGUUGUU